AACGGGUUUUGUCAUGCAUCCCUAGCUAAUUGGGGUGUGAUGAAGUGCAUAAUUCCAAAGCUAUCUAGCCUGAGGGCUUAAAGAAAAGCUUAACUGUGCCUGCAAAGCAGAGUGGAGAUAGCUGGUGUGACAAGUGCCUAUCAGGAGGCUGCAGGCUUUGGAACCAGCCUGACACAGGGGCACUAUCAGAUUGCAGCUGGGAUUCUGCCCACAGUCCUGCUGCUGCCUUCAGCAGUGACUCGAUGGCCAAUUAGACAUUAAAGAGGCACAAUGUACAGCUUAUUUCAGAAGGAAAUAUUUUAACAGCACAGGUGACUGUCAUGCAUGCAUUAAGAAAACCAGGACACAGCAUACCAAAUUAAGUACAGCUACAGUGAAAUAAUUGUAACAGAGCAAUGCUGACCCCAGCUACUGAAUGCUGGCACCUGGCUUUUGCUGCACAGCUCAUGCAGGCAAACACACAGGGCUGAUGCUGGUAGGACCUCCAGGAUAUCCCUGGGUUUGUUCCCAGCCCACUUCCCAGUGUUAUGGAAACACUGAGAGCCCUUGGAUCAGGGGCAGAAGGACACUACAGCAGUGCCUGGGAGGAGACACAGCAGCCAGAAUGUGCAGCAAGAGUGGCAAGAGCCAGCUAAAAGUACCAUUGUCAAAAGUAGGAAAUUCCUUCCCAUGAAGAGUGUGGAUUUUGACAGCUGCAGUCUGGAACAAAAAGGACUGAGGUGACUUCUGUGGCAUCAGGACAAUGGCUGUUAAGCAAGGAGUGUGCAGCCAGGGCCAGCCCCCGUGGGGUCCCUCAGGGUCCUGCCCUGGCCAGCCAGGCAGGGAGGACAUCCCUCAGGGACACGUGUGUGGGCAGGAAGAGCAUGGACCUCCAUCCUGGAAAGACAGAGCCUGUAACUCUGAAAUCAGAAUCUGAGACACCACUUAUAAUGCCUCUAUUUGCAAUCCCUAAGCAAGCCUCAACCUUGCUUCCAGCAUCUAGUACAUUUUUUUUAGUUCUAUUUUUUUUUGCCUAAUUACACAAAGAAAAGAAAAAAACAUCCUAUAAAAAAAACUUUAAAAUUUGAAGACAGUUGUUGGAUGCACUUUGCAGCAGAUGUCAUUAUCUUCCUUCCCUGACCCUGACCCGCAACCAUUUCUAUUUUGCUUUAAAUGAUACUGUAAUUUCACAAUAUGUAUUCAGCUGGAACUAUUCUUUUUGUUAAAUAAACUUUACCCUUGUGCUGACUGCUCCA
This 1235-nucleotide long non-coding RNA is filed under the name Cyanistes caeruleus (blue tit). RNAcentral's name for it is "lncRNA (ENSCCEG00000019494.1)". The record is from RNAcentral. Lineage: Eukaryota; Metazoa; Chordata; Aves; Passeriformes; Paridae.